CCGGGGGGCGGCAAACAGUGAGAUAUGCUGCUCGCUGCAUUCCCAGCAAGCCUCUGCUCCUCUGCCUUCUCCUCGGCUGCUGCCGAUAAAAACAGGAAUUUCUGUGAGUCAUCCCCAGCUGUGAGCCUCCAACAUUCAAUGACUUUCACCUCACCACUGAAGAUCAACGAUGAAGCAGCCCAGUUAUUUUACGGCAGGCGAAGAGAGCAUUCACUCGUUUAUCCCAUCACUGAGCUGAUCCUCU
Solea senegalensis (Senegalese sole) is the source of this 244-nucleotide long non-coding RNA. RefSeq lists it as uncharacterized. The record is from RefSeq and is a predicted model, not a curated record. NCBI's taxonomy places the organism in Eukaryota, Metazoa, Chordata, Actinopteri, Pleuronectiformes, Soleidae. The transcript has 4 exons.